RNAcentral lists this ribosomal RNA (454 nucleotides) under Acinetobacter baumannii. RNAcentral's name for it is "bacterial SSU rRNA". It matches the Rfam family "Bacterial small subunit ribosomal RNA", at positions 1 to 455 of the family's 1533-position model. The record is from RNAcentral. Lineage: Bacteria; Pseudomonadati; Pseudomonadota; Gammaproteobacteria; Moraxellales; Moraxellaceae.
UUUAACUGAAGAGUUUGAUCAUGGCUCAGAUUGAACGCUGGCGGCAGGCUUAACACAUGCAAGUCGAGCGGGGGAAGGUAGCUUGCUACCGGACCUAGCGGCGGACGGGUGAGUAAUGCUUAGGAAUCUGCCUAUUAGUGGGGGACAACAUCUCGAAAGGGAUGCUAAUACCGCAUACGUCCUACGGGAGAAAGCAGGGGAUCUUCGGACCUUGCGCUAAUAGAUGAGCCUAAGUCGGAUUAGCUAGUUGGUGGGGUAAAGGCCUACCAAGGCGACGAUCUGUAGCGGGUCUGAGAGGAUGAUCCGCCACACUGGGACUGAGACACGGCCCAGACUCCUACGGGAGGCAGCAGUGGGGAAUAUUGGACAAUGGGGGGAACCCUGAUCCAGCCAUGCCGCGUGUGUGAAGAAGGCCUUAUGGUUGUAAAGCACUUUAAGCGAGGAGGAGGCUACU